CUUCCGUAGGUGAACCUGCGGAAGGAUCAUUAAUGAAUUUUAGGACGUUCUUUUUAGAAGUCCGACCCUUUCAUUUUCUUACACCGUGCACACACUUCUUUUUUACACACACUUUUAACACCUUAGUAUAAGAAUGUAAUAGUCUCUUAAUUGAGCAUAAAUAAAAACAAAACUUUCAGCAACGGAUCUCUUGGCUCUCGCAUCGAUGAAGAACGCAGCGAAUUGCGAUAAGUAAUGUGAAUUGCAGAAUUCAGUGAAUCAUCGAAUCUUUGAACGCACCUUGCACUCUUUGGUAUUCCGAAGAGUAUGUCUGUUUGAGUGUCAUGAAACUCUCAACCCCCCUAUUUUGUAAUGAGAUGGGCGUGGGCUUGGAUUAUGGUUGUCUGUUGGCGUAAUUGCCGGCUCAACUGAAAUACACGAGCAACCCUACUGAAACAAACGGUUUGACUUGGCGUAAUAAUUAUUUCGCUAAGGACGUUUUCUUCAAUUAUAAGAGGUGCUUCUAAUUCGCUUCUAAUAGCAUUUAAGCUUUAGACCUCAAAUCAGUCAGGACUACCCGCUGAACUUAAGCAUAUCAAUAAGCGGAGGAAAA
Molecule: ribosomal RNA, 592 nt
Filed under: Cystobasidium slooffiae
Lineage: Eukaryota; Fungi; Basidiomycota; Cystobasidiomycetes; Cystobasidiales; Cystobasidiaceae
Description: eukaryotic LSU rRNA
Rfam family: 5.8S ribosomal RNA (bases 171-324)
Source: RNAcentral